Molecule: ribosomal RNA, 292 nt
Filed under: uncultured Methylophilaceae bacterium
Lineage: Bacteria; Pseudomonadati; Pseudomonadota; Betaproteobacteria; Nitrosomonadales; Methylophilaceae
Description: partial 16S ribosomal RNA
Rfam family: Bacterial small subunit ribosomal RNA
Source: RNAcentral
GUGUCAGCCGCCGCGGUAAUACGUAGGGUGCGAGCGUUAAUCGGAAUUACUGGGCGUAAGGCGUGCGCAGGCUGUUUUGUAAGUCAGAUGUGAAAUCCCUGAGCUCAACUUAGGAACUGCGUUUGAAACUACAAGACUAGAAUAUGUCAGAGGGGGGUAGAAUUCCACGUGUAGCAGUGAAAUGCGUAGAGAUGUGGAGGAAUACCAAUGGCGAAGGCAGCCCCCUGGGAUAAUAUUGACGCUCAUGCACGAAAGCGUGGGGAGCAAACAGGAUUAGAUACCCUAGUAGUCC